AAGGUGAGGUACCUGCUUGCUCAAAGGUACAGCAGCAGUGUGUCUCCCCACCUUGGAUUGAACCCACACAAGACCCCCGGUCAAGAGUCCAGAGCCCUAACCACUACUCCACACUGCUGCCGUUAACCAUGGAGCAAUAUAGAAUGACUUCACAAAUAGAACAAGCUGUGGCUUCAAUUCGCAGAUCGAUGUGUGUUGGCAUUGAGAUCAGCAAUAACAGCAAAUUCAUACUAAAAUCACCAGAGGUAUAUGUCUAUGGUGGUGUUCUGCGAAGCCCACCACAACCAAGAAUUGAUCCAGGAAACAGUGGAAUCUGCAUUUUUACAAAGUACUUGUACUCACUGUGUGGUGUAGAGGGGAUGCUCAGCUACGACGUGAAUGGAAAGAGACUUUGCUUGAUGUUUUCUAACCCUCUCUGGGUGUAUUUGUACAAAAGGAAAUUCAAUUUGAUGUUCUACGGCAUAGAGGAUUCUAUAAAUGAGCAGUUAUUUAAUAAAAUGGGUUUAGAAAAUGAAGCUGGCAACAUCUGUAUUGUUGGAGACAGUUCGUUAUCAAAGAUCACAGCUCGUGGUGGAGAUGUAGAAGUAACAGCCACAAUGUCUUCAUCUAUGAAAUCCAUCAUUAAAAUUGAUAUCAGGGAUGUGUGAUGUGACAUGGCAUUGUAGCAAUAUGUUCACUUUGUAUGGUAAACUUCACAGAUCUCUAUGGCUUUUUAAAUGCUUGUUAUUGUCUGUUGUGCUUUUGUUUUUAUUGUGAUCUAAAACUUAUUUUUGUAAGUGUGUUUAUAAGCAGCUGUUUAAGGCACUCUAAGUUGAAUACGUGAUUGUAAAGGUGAAGGAGGUCACAUGAACAGGUUUGACUCUGUGUGUGUGUGUGUAUAUGUGUGUGUAUAUAUAUAUAUAUAUAUAUAUAUUAUAUAUAUAUAUAUACUGUAUAUAUUGAGCUGAGUUUUCUUGCUAACGACCUUGAACAGCUAGCAACCUUGAAGAAUGACCAGAUACCUUCAGUGAUGUCGUCAAAUCAGAAGACUUGUAGAAAGAAGUUUGCCUGACGGUGAUUUCACAAGGUUUAAUUCCCAUUAGGUUGUAUGUAAAAUUAAUGAACAAGUACCGAACAUAAUAAUAUUGUAAAACAAGAAUAUAUUACCAGCAAGAAUUUGUUUGCUAAUUUUGUUUAUUUAAAAAAAAAAAAAAAAAAAAAACGCUAAAUUAAUGUGCCUUUGAUUUUUGCAACCCAGUUUUGUUAUUGUAUACGUGUUGGUAUUUUGCAAUACAGUCUGUGUUAUUGUAUAUAAUUUGGCACAUUUAGCAAGUUCACAAGUUAAAUUAAAACCCUUAUAACCUCUAGAAAGCUACCAUACAGUAUACUGUGAAA
Acipenser ruthenus (sterlet) is the source of this 1374-nucleotide long non-coding RNA. RefSeq lists it as uncharacterized. Lineage: Eukaryota; Metazoa; Chordata; Actinopteri; Acipenseriformes; Acipenseridae. The transcript is spliced from 3 exons. The record is from RefSeq and is a predicted model, not a curated record.